This 685-nucleotide ribosomal RNA is filed under the name uncultured bacterium. Its description in RNAcentral is "bacterial SSU rRNA". It matches the Rfam family "Bacterial small subunit ribosomal RNA", at positions 35 to 701 of the family's 1533-position model. The record is from RNAcentral.
GGUGGCGGCGUGGAUAAGACAUGCAAGUCGAACGGGACUUUCAUUGUAGCAAUAUGAUGGAAGUUCAGUGGCGUAAGGGUGCGUAACACGUGGGAAAUCUGCCGAGAAGUGGGGGAUAGCUCGCCGAAAGGCGAAUUAAUACCGCAUGUGGUCAGCGAGGACAUCCUCGCAAAACCAAAGCCGGGGCAACCUGGCGCUUCUUGAUGAUCCCGCGGCCUAUCAGCUAGUUGGCGGGGUAAAAGCCCACCAAGGCUAUGACGGGUAGCUGGUCUGAGAGGACGACCAGCCACACUGGAACUGAGACACGGUCCAGACACCUACGGGUGGCAGCAGUCGAGAAUUUUUCUCAAUGGGGGCAACCCUGAAGGAGCGACGCCGCGUGGAGGAUGAAGGUCUUCGGAUUGUAAACUCCUGUCAUUAGGGAACAAAUCUUCCAAGUAACUACUGGAAGUCUGAUAGUACCUGAAGAGGAAGAGACGGCUAACUCUGUGCCAGCAGCCGCGGUAAUACAGAGGUCUCAACCGUUGUUCGGAUUCAUUGGGCGUAAAGGGUGCGUAGGCGGCGGGGCAAGUCAGGUGUGAAAUCUCGGGGCUCAACCCCGAAACUGCACUUGAUACUGCUUCGCUAGAGUACUGGAGAGGAGACUGGAAUUUACGGUGUAGCAGUGAAAUGCGUGGAUAUCGUA